CCUACGGGAGGCAGCAGUGGGGAAUAUUGCACAAUGGGCGAAACCCUGAUGCAGCGACGCCGCGUGAGUGAAGAAGUAAUUCGUUAUGUAAAGCUCUAUCAGCAGGGAAGAAAAUGACGGUACCUGAGUAAGAAGCACCGGCUAACUACGUGCCAGCAGCCGCGGUAAUACGUAGGGGGCAAGCGUUAUCCGGAUUUCCUGGGUGGAAAGGGAGCGUAGACGGCAGUGCAAGUCUGGAGUGAAGGGCGGGGGCUCAACCCCCGGACUGCUCUGGAAACUGUACGGCUGGAGUGCAUGAGAGGUAAGUGGAAUUCCUAGUGUAGGGGUGAAAUGCGUAGAUAUUAGGAGGAACAUCAGUGGCGAAGGCGGCUUACUGGACUGUAACUGACGUUGAGGCGCGAAAGCGUGGGGAGCAAACAGGAUUAGAUACCCUAGUAGUC
RNAcentral lists this ribosomal RNA (440 nucleotides) under uncultured bacterium. RNAcentral's name for it is "partial 16S ribosomal RNA". It matches the Rfam family "Bacterial small subunit ribosomal RNA", at positions 338 to 795 of the family's 1533-position model. The record is from RNAcentral.